GCUUACGGCCACACAGCCUGGUUCUCUCCUGAUCUCGUUUGAUCUCGGAAGCUAAGAUAGGUUGGGCCUGGUUAGUACUUGGAUGGGAGACCGCUGGGAAUACCAGGUGCUGUAUGCU
This 118-nucleotide ribosomal RNA is filed under the name Scophthalmus maximus (turbot). The record is from RNAcentral. Lineage: Eukaryota; Metazoa; Chordata; Actinopteri; Pleuronectiformes; Scophthalmidae.